Molecule: transfer RNA, 85 nt
Filed under: Peribacillus asahii
Lineage: Bacteria; Bacillati; Bacillota; Bacilli; Caryophanales; Bacillaceae
Description: tRNA-Arg
Source: RNAcentral
ACCGUUGACAUAACGGUUCAUAUAACGAAUGAUAUUCCGGACCAGCCUCCUAAGCUGUAGGUCGUAGGUUCAAUUCCUAUCUGGG